GUGGACAUUCCACCGAGACUGCCCUGCUGUCUGUCACUGAGUCGCUGAGACAGGCGAAAGCUGGAUCCAGAUCAUCUGUCCUGAUUCUACUGCACCUUUCUGCAGCCUUUGACACAGUCAACCAUCAGAUCCUACUCUCCACCCUCUCUACUCUGGGCAUCACAGGAACUGUUCUUGACUGGUUUAAUUCCUAUCUCUCAGGUGCCACAACCCGGGAAGGAGGAGGGAUGUGCCGUAGUAGAGUCCUCACCACUACCAUCCACCCCAACGGAGCAGCCGCGGCCACCCGCCGGGGGACGGAGUAGCCCAGCCGCCUGGGAGUGGAGGAACGGCCACUGACCGCGAGGGGAGGAGGGGCUCCUAGCCGACCACCUGGAGCAGUCAGGGCUGCUGCCAGGGGCGGAGAAGACCCCUAUCAGCCGCUAAAACGCGGUGGGUCAAAGAACCGCAGACCGCGAGCGGGGAGGGGCUCCUGGCCGACCGCCUGGAGUGGGAUGAUCGCUGCCAGUGGCGGGGGAGACCCUUUCCGUCCACCGAAAACGCAGCGUGGUCAGAGGCCGGAGGACUGCCUCCGAUCCGCCCGGGGAGGCGUGGCUGUCGUCCACUAGAGGAUGGAGGAGUGGCCAAGGACCAGUCUACAGUGUAUCGGAGAACCAGCAAAUCCAGGAAAAUUGGGAUGACCUGCUGGCAAACAGGGCUGGAAGGGCACGCUCUGGCCUGAGAGAACGAGGGAGGAAUGUGGCAGGGUGGAGGGUGGGGCCGGGCUGUGAUCCCGCACACACAGCCCCUAAUUAGG
Myxocyprinus asiaticus (Chinese sucker) is the source of this 796-nucleotide long non-coding RNA. RefSeq lists it as uncharacterized. The transcript is spliced from 3 exons. NCBI's taxonomy places the organism in Eukaryota, Metazoa, Chordata, Actinopteri, Cypriniformes, Catostomidae. The record is from RefSeq and is a predicted model, not a curated record.